Long non-coding RNA from Thalassophryne amazonica, 1043 nucleotides. RefSeq lists it as uncharacterized. The transcript is spliced from 4 exons. The record is from RefSeq and is a predicted model, not a curated record. Lineage: Eukaryota; Metazoa; Chordata; Actinopteri; Batrachoidiformes; Batrachoididae.
CUUAAGUUGUCUUCACUUUGCAUAUUAUUUCUGCAUGUAGUUUUAUGUCUGUGCUUUGUAGAAAUAUCUGCAGUAUUAACUGUUUGUCUGUUCAUCUCAACAGUUUUUUCCUCCCUGAGAAACUCAUUCUUCAGGUUUUGGAGCAACUGGCCUCAGCCCUGGAACACUGCCACAGACGCCCCAAUGGCAGUGUUGUUCUCCAUCAGGACAUAAAGCCAGCUAAUGUUUUUCUCGAUGACGACUUAAACGUUAAGUUGGGUGAUUUUGGGCUGGAAGACAUCCCACUCGGAAUGACUACGUCAAAACACAGCCUGGGAGUCUUCACUACAUGUGUCCAGAAAAACUCAACAAGACUUUUUAACAUGAAAAGUCUGAUAUCUGGUCACUAGGAUGUCUCAUUUAUGAGCUGUGUACUUUAAAGCCUCUGUUUCCUGGUGAUGGAGGAAAAUGUCUGAUCGACAGAGUCAACCAUGGAAAGGUUAAAAGAAUUCCGUCCCGGUAUUCAGACGAGCUGAACUCCCUAAUUGGCGACAUGCUGCAAGUUUUGGGUCGUGCAACAUGAGUUGGUGUGCACCAGUGACCUCUUCGACCUUCACUUACCGAACAUGAUAUUGCUUCUAUCUUCUUAAAUUAAAACAAUUGUCAUAAAAUGAAAUAUAUCUCUUACUGUUUCUCCCAUUCAGCUAAUAAAAUGUAUUUUGUGAUUCAUGAAAGUUUUCAAACAUGUUGUCUCCUCCCAUAAUAACAUAAUGAUCAGCAUCGGCAUGAAAUUAUCACAUUGAGAAGUCAUUAUGAAGUUAUAUUCAUUCAUUCAUUUUCUAUACCCACUUAAUUAAGAUAUUAUUAUUACGAUGAUUAUUAUAGAGAUUAUAUCUACCAUGCUAGUUGGAAAUGCCUUGUAAUGCUCCAAGAAGAGUUAGGGGACUUGGCUGAGGACAGUGAAAUGUGGGACGAGCUGCUUAGUCUGCGGACACCAUGACAAAGACGUAGAACGUCUGUGUCAUGUGUUGUCUGUGUUGUAUAGCAGUCAGAUAAUGAUUAUU